RNAcentral lists this ribosomal RNA (565 nucleotides) under Botryosphaeria dothidea. RNAcentral describes it as "eukaryotic LSU rRNA". The stretch from base 189 to 342 matches the Rfam family "5.8S ribosomal RNA". Lineage: Eukaryota; Fungi; Ascomycota; Dothideomycetes; Botryosphaeriales; Botryosphaeriaceae. The record is from RNAcentral.
UGGGUUAAACGGAGUUUGAUCGGGCUCGGCCCGAUCCUCCCACCCUUUGUGUACCUACCUCUGUUGCUUUGGCGGGCCGCGGUCCUCCGCGGCCGCCCCCCUCCCCGGGGGGGUGGCCAGCGCCCGCCAGAGGACCAUCAAACUCCAGUCAGUAAACGAUGCAGUCUGAAAAACAUUUAAUAAACUAAAACUUUCAACAACGGAUCUCUUGGUUCUGGCAUCGAUGAAGAACGCAGCGAAAUGCGAUAAGUAAUGUGAAUUGCAGAAUUCAGUGAAUCAUCGAAUCUUUGAACGCACAUUGCGCCCUUUGGUAUUCCGAAGGGCAUGCCUGUUCGAGCGUCAUUACAACCCUCAAGCUCUGCUUGGUAUUGGGCACCGUCCUUUGCGGGCGCGCCUCAAAGACCUCGGCGGUGGCGUCUUGCCUCAAGCGUAGUAGAACAUACAUCUCGCUUCGGAGCGCAGGGCGUCGCCCGCCGGACGAACCUUCUGAACUUUUCUCAAGGUUGACCUCGGAUCAGGUAGGGAUACCCGCUGAACUUAAGCAUAUCAAUAAGCGGAGGAAUUC